AUUACUUGGUUCAGGUUAUUCUGUGUCUUAAGUUGUCCUACACUGUUUUAUUUGAAAAUACCUUUCAGGAUUUAAAUAAAAAAGGUAAAAUUGAAGAAAAAGAAGGAACAACUUUACACUAUAUCUAGAGAUUGGAACAUAUAUAUUUAUCCCUUUACCAAAUACUUCCAAACCUCUGCAAACCAUUAGAUGUUUGUAACUAGAUAAUUUCAUAUAUGAUUCUGAUUUCUUAAUGUUUUUGUGCCCUUAGCAGUUGUGGCUAAAUAGGGAAAUUAGAGGAAGAUUGAACCAUCUUAGUGCCUGCUAUUAAUUUAUAACUCCUGAAAGCAAGAAUGUUUAAAUAUGAUCUCUGUUUCCUGAAAGCAAGAAUGUUUAAAUAUGAUCUCUGUUUACUCUCAAUAUUAAUUAUCAGGUCCUGUGUUUUGGAUAUAAAAAUGAUUGAGACUUAGUUCCUACCUUCAGAAGGAGCACAAUCUGAUAUUUUUUAGUUAUUGAAAUAGAAUUAUACUUGGAUACAGCGGGAAUACAGAGGAGUACAAAACUGUGCAAAAGAAAUAUAGUGCAUAGUAGGAAAAUUGGUAUAACUGAGUAAAACUAUGCUGAAUCCCGAAAUGUUAUUGGGGAUUAAGCAGUUGCAUGUUUGAACAAUGUUGUAGGCCAAGUCCUCAUCAAGGUUCUGAAGUAGGACACUUGAGUACAGAAAAAAGUAGGGAAUUGAGACCUUUUCAAAACUUGACAAUGAGGAAUGAAAAAUGAAAAUAAGAAUAAAUAGAAGGAAUUAAGCAGAGGACUGUGGUACUGACUUGCCGAGUAUAGCACUUGACAUGUAAAUAUGAAGAUUGGAGUAGGAGGCAAGCUGGCUGCUAGGCUAGUAGAAUUGACAAGCUUUGAGUACAGUGAAAAACAGCCUCUGACUUCUAAACACACCCCACUACAUGUACUAAAAAUCUACCUUCACCACAUAAGCUAAUGCAGGCACACUAACACAUACACACACAGUCCUCUCUUAAGAAAUUAGGAGGAAGUAAAGAUAAUUUGUGGAGCUUUGUUUAAGGUGUGGUUGAAAAAGUCAAGGUUUUCCUUACUAAAAGCAGAUUACAUCCAUUUAAAUGCUUGUGUACAUUAUGAAUUCUAAGACAUAACUAUGAAAUAUCCUUUAAAUUUAUGAGACCGUAUAACUUCUCUAAUAACUUUAAAACACUUAAGAAAUGUAUAAAAUUUACUCUUUACUGUCUUAAAGUAUAUAAACCAGUGGUAUUGUUAAUAUAUUUUUGAGCAUUUGUCAUCAAAACCAUUUGCAUUUUGUAUUACUGAAACUUUGUGUGCAUUAAAAAGUGACUUUUCUUUCCCACUGUGGCUGGCAGUUAUAAUUUUACUUUUUGUGAGUUUGGUGCUUCUAACUACUUCAAGUUUUUCUCUCUGUAGCCCUGAGUGUCCUGGAACUUGCUCUGUAGACCAGGCUGGCUUCAAACUCAGAUAUCCUCCUGCCUCUGCUUCCUGAGUGUGGGAUUAAAGGUGUGCAUCACCGUGAUCAGCAUCAAAUUGAUGAGAAAAAAAGUUCUUUACCUUUCUAAUCAUCUUAAGAAAUGAAACAACAGUUAAAUACCACCUCAUACUUGCUACAAUAUAUGAAUGUUCAUGUUGGUUAGGUUGUAAGCAAACAGAAAUCUUUCACACAAUUGUUUAGAAUGUAAAUUAGAUCAAUUAUAAAAAAUAAUAGGUUCAUAAAAUUUAAAAAUAGUAUUGCCAUGACCUAGCAAUUAUAUUCUAGAAAUAUAUAGUGUGUUGAAAGAGAUACCUGCAGUUUAAUGUUGAUUGCAUCAUUAAUUAGAGGAAACAAAAUGCUGAAAUAAAGCAGUUUGUCAGUGAAUACAUAAAAAUUGAUAUAUAUCUAAUGGUGUAAUAUUUAUCCAUUAAAAUUUUUUUUUCUGAAGUCUUAUGUCUGUGACAUGUAUGGAAAUGAUACUCCAUAUUUUCUAUGAAAUAAAUCAGCAACAAAACAGGCAGUACAUGAUCUCACUGUACGUAGAAUGUAAAAACAUUGAUUUUCUAAAAGUGUUUGUUACUCAGAGUAGAAUAGAUGGACAUAUAAUAAAACAUGGAAAAUGAAUAUAGUUCAGGAUCCCUAUUGUAUAACAUGGUGACUUUUUAUUGUAUUUUUUCUUGAAUAUCACUAAAAGUCAAUUUUUAAGUUUUCAUGCAAAAGUGCUGUGUAUGUUAGAAUUUAUAAACUCAUUUGAUGCAUCAUGUUACAUAUGAUUAUAUAUAUGUAGUUCUUAUUUGUCAACAAAAAUAAAAACUUUGGAAAAACAUCUGUGUCUUCAUAUAUCAAAAUUAUUAUUGCAUGAAUGAAAGUUUUUAAUAGAUCAAUAACAUUUUAAUAAUCCUUUGUAUGGUGCUAAAUAUGCUUAAGAUAAAGGAGUAAUUGUUGGAAAUAGAGACCAUAAAGUUCUUUUAUGUUAAGAAAUACAAAUAAUUGUGGAAACUUUUAUACUGGCAUAUGAUAUGGACACUUGAUGUCCUUUAGCCCAUUAGUUUAAUCAGAUAGUAUUCAGAUGGAUUAUAUGAAAAUAUCAUACCAGAAGUUUGUAAUUUUGAUAUUUGGCUAGGCGUGUUGAUUUGCUCUGCUCCUGUAAUCCCAGGACUUGGGAACUUAUUCAGGGACAGCGUCACCCAUAUAGUAAGGCCAGUCUAAGUUACAUGAGACCCUGAAUUUAAAAACAAACAAACAAACAAAAAAACCCUAAAAGCAGGGCCUAAAGAGUUGGUUCAAUUUCCUGCUUUCCAACUACGUAGAAUAAAUUCUCAGAACCUAUGUAAAAAGUGUGACAUGGCCUUUUUACCCCUGCCUUGGUGGAUGGGAAGAAAGAGAAUGAUGGUUGAAAUUCAUUCAUUCAGUAUAGAUAAUUCAGCGAGUGUCAGGUUUAGUGAGAACUACUGUCUUAAACAUUUGGCUGAGGAGCAUUAGAAAAUGAUGAUUGUUAUUGAUUUCUGGUCUCAAGAUACACAUGCAUAGGCAUGCAUGCUUGCACGUUUGUGUGCACAACACAUGUAUGCAACCUCCCCUAAAAAACAAAACAAAACAAAUUGAUUCAUUCAAAAUAGAGUUGUUAUUUGUAUGCUAUUGGUUUCUCGAAAUCUUUUAGACUUUUGCAUCUUAUUUAGUAGGAAUUUUUUCCCAUGACUGUUAACGUUCUACAAAGCAUUCUUAGUUUCUCUUUGUUUCACAUAUUGAAAGUGUUUGCAAGUUUUGUUGAAUUUAUCCUCAGAAUACAUACAUUUCAGCCACUUUAAAAAGCAUUUUUAGUACAUUGCCAUCUUUUGAUGAGGGACAUCAUUGUUUCUCAGUACUUUUGUUCCUACCUCUUUUUUUUCUCUUAACUCAGUGGGCUUUUCUGAUUAAAAAAAGUUAAACCAUCUUUUCUAUACUGUUUUCAGAGGUUUCCUGUUUCUUAAAUUAUGAUUAGAAAUUGAUAUUGCCCUAUGUGAACUGGCUCUUUCAUUUAUGUGAUAUCUUGUACUAGCUUUAUGUUCUUCACCUGCAACUUUUGAGGUUUUAAACCUGGCACUGACUCUUCUGUCUUGAGUUAACCUGCAUUUUUUUUUUUUUCUUGUUUGAGAAUUCUUACAUAAUGCCUGUCAGAGGUGUCUUUUCUGAGUGACUGUGUCAAACUAUGAUCUCGGUUCUUACUAGUUUUCUUUCUAAGAUUUAAUAUCACUUUCUAAGAUUUAAUAUCACUUGAUUUCUUUUAAGGUCAGUUUGCCCAUGAUUCUUGAAUGUUUUUUCAGAUUUUAUUUAUUUAUUUAUUUUUUUGUGAGAACUGAGCCUUUUUAUCAGGGUUACCUCUGGUUUUAAGGUCAGAUGCUUUUAGUUUCUGUGUGAAACUAAACUAAUUGUUGUUGGUUCUGUUUUCAAAAAUUUCGUUUCUGGGUUUUGUGAGCAUACUUUUGGUCAGAUUGAACCUUUGAAAGUUCUUUAAUCUAAGGUUAACCUUCUAAUAUGAGGAAGAAAUUUACCUAAUUUGACCUGUUUUUCUUUAAAGUCAAAUAACUAGAGAAACACCAACUGAAAAAUCUAAGCAAUAACAAAAGAGAAAUUGGAGAUUGUUGAGUCUGUAAUUUGGUUCUUUGAAGAUACAAGAAAAAGUUAUAGGGUCACACUUUCCCUACUAUAUAUAUAUCAUGGAUAAUUAAUGUGGAGUGGUGGAGUCAGUGAUUGCUGUUGGAGCACAGAAAUGAUAUGGAAACUUUGGGAAUGGACUGUGAUAAUUAAGGACCAUAGUGUUCUCAGCAGAAAGAUAAUUACCGGCAAGUCCACUAGACUGCAUAGACUCAGUAUUAGUGGAAUGCAGAGGUUUAGGUGAUGAGAGAGAGAGAUAUGAAACAUGAAACUAAAAAUAGAAAGGGACAGUUGAUUAUAGACAUGGAAAUUGGUUGUAAGUUGAAUAUCUCUGAUUACCUUUCUCCUCUGGUAGUCUGUAUAGCACUGUCAAGUUCUACAGAUCCUAGUCAGUAGGGAUCAAGCUUAAAGGUGAGUUUUUGCUUGACUUUUCCAUUUCUUUACUAAAGUCAUUGCAUCUUCAGCAAUAGUGUCUUAUCACGUUCUGGAGGGUAACAAAAAACUAAGGAAAUAUAUAGCCAACAGGAUCACUGGAAUGUCACUGGUCAACAACUCUAAAGAGGUUGAACUUUAACUUUUUUUUUUUAACAAAAUUCUUUUUUCCUUUAAAUAAUUGUUGAGAAUUUCAUCCAGUCACUAAUUGAAUAUAAUCACUUCCUCAACCUCCUUACAGCCUUCUCAACCCUUUCAUUAUUUUAAGAUUAUACUUUUUUCAAAUUUUUUCAUCUUCAUUCUCCAUUGAAUUAAUAUUUGUAUUGUCAAGCUAGCCUUGGAAUUUGGGCCUGAUGUAGUGUGUUAUCACCCUACCAGGGGUUCAUAAGAUACUUGUAAUGACAGCUCUAUUUCUCUGCCAACUCCUCCUCCCCCAGCCCUGCUGGGAUUUUGACUGGCUGAAGCUUGAGUAUAUUAUCGUAAGGGUUUAUCAUAAGUUCAUAUAUGCACCUAGUCUGUUGUCUCUUGGAAAAGACUGUUUCCUUGAAGUUGUCUACCAUCUGUGAAUGACCAACUUUCCAGCCCUUUGGGUGAGAUGAAUGUCUGAUUUGGGACUGAUUUGGGAUUGAGCACCCCACAAUUUUUCUUUUCUUGCCAUGCUUACCAGUUUUGGGGUAGGAUCAUCUGUUAUUUGCCAUAUGUUAUGAAGCAAAACUUCUUUAGUGAAAGCUAAGAAAUGUGCUUUUCCCUGGGUAUAGCAAUGAGUAAUUUUAGUAUUAUGGAUGUUUAGCAGAGUAAUGGUAUAGACUCUAACCUAGGGCCUAUGACCUUAUCUAUCUUAGGUUUUUUUGCUCCUUUGUACCUGGUAUGGAUUCCACCUUUGAUGCAAUCAUGUAGUGGCUGGUUAUCCUAAAACAUCUAUGCCAUUAUUAGUAGUCCUAUCUUGUCAGGCCUCUUUUAGCUUGAAGGAUUCAUGACUACGUAAGAUUGAGGCCUUUCUUCUCAAGAGUUUGUAUAGCACCUGCCAACAUAGUAGAUUGUAACCAGUUGGGAUAGUUUGCCACUGAGUACCAGCAUGAUGUCUCCUUGCUCUGGUUCAAGGACAUGGUUGGUGUCUGUAGCAAUCUGAUCUUAUGAUCAAAUUUUGGUUGUGUGCUGACUAGUUUCAUGGCAACUUGAUACAAACUAGAGUCAUCUGAGAAGAGGGAGCCUCAGUUGAGAAAAUGCCAUCCUAAUAUUGGGCUGUGGGUAAUCCUGGAGGGCAUUUCAUUAGUUAGUAGCUGAUUUGAGAGGGCCCAGACCAUUGUGGUUGGUGUUACCCUGGGCUGAUGGUCCUGAGGUCUGUAGAAAAAGCAAGUUUAUCAAGCUAUAAGGAACAAACCAGUAAUCAGCACUCUUCCAUUAUGCUGCAACAGCUCCUCCAAGUUCCUAUUCUGCUUGAGUCUCUGUCCUAAGUACUUUGAAUGAUGAGUACUGUUUUGGAAGUGUAAGGGGGAAUUAACUCUUUUCUCCUCAAAUAGCUUUUGGUCAUGUUUAUUCAUGACCAAAAUGUAACAGUCUGGGAGAGUAGCCAGGAGUAUUAGCAGUAGCCUCCCAUAACGGUGGAUGGGGGUUCUAUGUGAUCUGAAUACCCAGUCCUGGGGUACUAGGGUCUUUAUUUGGUAGCAUGGGGUAUCUGGUUGGGGUAUUGUUUAUAGAAUAAUUCUAUUAUCUUUCUUCUGGUACAUAUAUUAUGGAGAUUCUAUACUGUUAGGCUUCCAUCUGACUCUUUCAAAAGGCCUUUAAUGUCAUUCUUCAUCUAAUUCCCAUUGUCUUAAUCUUUUCCUUCCAGUUCAGUUUUACUCUUCUUAUUCUAUUGUUCUCCACUCAUGCUAUGUAUUUUGCCUUUGUUGCCAUUAUGUCCCAUCCUCUUAAUGACUUAUUAUUUCUGACUGUUGUGGGUAUUCCAUAUGGAAUACAAAUGUCUCAAGACUCAAAGUUCACUUUCAGAAAUGAGGGUAGUUAUAUAAUGUUAUCUUUCUGUGUUUGGAUGUCUGUUCAGGAUAACUGUCUGACUCCAUCCAUUUAUUUGCCUACCAAUUUCAUAAUAUUUUUCUUAAAAAUGCUGAAUAAUGUCCUACUGUGUAAGUGUACCCUAUUUUCAUUAUUCAUUAGUUGGUGGACAUUUAGGCUGUUUCUAUUUCCUAACUGUUGUGAAUAGAGCAACAGUGAACAUGAAUGAGUAAGUAUCUGAUAAGAAAUUCUAAAUUUCUAAAAGUGGUCCAGCCAGUUUGUGGUAGAACUAAGGUUUUUGAGAAACCUCACAUUGAUUUCUACAGUGGUUGCAUCAAUUUCCACUCCAGUCAGCAGUGAAUAGCCAUAAGCUCUUUCCCUACAUUUACUCCAACAUCUAUUUGUUUCUUUGAAAUAGACAUUCUCACUGAGGUAAAAUGAAAUUUCAGUGUUUUAAUUUGCAUUUCUUGAUAGCUAAAGAUGUUUGAUUGUUCAGAAAAUAUCACUUUUUGAGACCUCUACUCAGAUUUAUUCCCGAUUUUUAUAUUCAGUUGUUUUCUGGACAUUUAGUUUUUUGAGUUCUUUUUAUUUUGUAGAAAACAAUGUAUUCUGUUGCUUCGCAUGAAUUCUUUGCUGUAUAGAAUGUUUUUAGUUUUAUUGUCUGGGUCUUAUAUCUGGGUCUUUACUUCUAUUGAAUUAUUGACAUGUCUAUCUUUAUGGCAGUACCAUGCUGCUUUUAUUACUAAAGCUUUGUAGUAUAAUUUAAAAUAGAUGAUGAUAUUUCUAGCAUUUCUUUUACUGUUCAGGAUUGUUUUUCUGUCAUGUGAAUUAUCAAGUAAAUUUUAAUAUUUCUUAAUUUCUAUGAAAAAUCAAGCUAUGGUUUUCAUAGGAAUUGUGUUGAGUUUAUAAAUUGUUUUAGGUAGAAUGACUUUUUAUAACAUUAAUCAUACCAGUCUGAGCAUGGGUGGUUUUUCCAUCUUUUGGUUUCUUUUUCAACAUAUUUUCUUUAAUUUCUUAGUUUUAAUUAUACAAAUGUUUUACUUCCAUAGUUAUAUUUAUUCAAAUUAUUUUUGAAGUUAUUGUGACUGGGAAUACAUCCCUGAUUUCUUUUUCUUUGUGUUUAUUAUUUGUGUACAGAAAGACUACUGAGUUGUGUGUGUCUUUCUUUUGUAUCUUGUUACUUCACUGAGUGUGUUUAUCAACUGUAGAAGUUUUCUGGUGGAGUCUUAAUAAUCUGUUACCUACAGUUAUUUUUUUUUAUAGAACCAUUUUAUUGUAAAUGAAAAUAACUUGAUUUCUUUUCCUACUGAUGUUUUCCUUAGUUUCUUUUCUUAUAUUAUUUCUCUAGUCAACACUUUAAUCAUUAUAUUGACCUGGAAUAGCAAGAGUGAACUCGCUUGCUUGCUUCCUUUCUUGCUUCCUUCCUUUCCUUCCUUUUUUCCUUUACUCCCUUCCUCUCCUCCCUCUCUCCCUCCCUCUGUCCCUCUCUAACACGUUUACCAGGAGUUUCUUCUUUUAUUAUGUUGAGCUAUAUCCUCUGUAUCCUAAGGUUCUUUAGGACUUUUGUCAUGAAGGAUUGAUGGAUAUUUGUUAGAAGACUUCUUUGUUUCUGAUGGGUAUUGAUGUGUUUUCUGAUCUGUUUUUUUUGUUGUUGUUGUUGUUUGUUUGUUUGUUUUUUUUUUCUCUCUGCGUUUUGGAUUUUUAUCUAUGAUUUUUGUUGAAGAUGUUUUCUGUGCCUUUGACUAGUGUUUCUUUUUUUUUUUUUUUUUUUCCCCGGAGCUGGGGACCGAACCCAGGGCCUUGCGCUUGCUAGGCAAGUGCUCUACCGCUGAGCUAAAUCCCCAACCCCUCUUGACUAGUGUUUCUUACUAUAUAACUCUUAUUUUCAGAUUUGUAUUUUUUUUGUAGUGUCCUCUAUAAGUUCCAUAGAUUUUUAGAUGUUUCCUAAGUAUUCUUAAUAUUUUCCUUGAUUGACUGAUCAUUUCCUCUACCUUAUCCUCCUGGCCUGAUAGUCUCUGUCUUCUACAAUACUUUCAGUUGAACUUUUUUGUUUGAUUUCCUGAAUUCUUCAUUUCCACUAGCAAUUCAUUUUGACUUUUCUUCAGGAUUUCUAUAUUUUUUGUUGAGUUAGAUUUUUACAUAUUGUGUUAUUUUAUUACUUGUUUCAGCUUCGUGUUUUUGCAGUUCUUAUCCAGCCAUUUGUUCAUACUGUGUUUUGAGUUCCUUCAACAAGGAUUUACUGUUCGAAGACAUUUUCCUGUGCAUCAUUUAUGAAAGUGUUUUUCUCAGAGAUGAAUAAACUGUGGGUGUUAGUUUUUAGAGGAGACAUUGUCUUAGUUAUUCAUGUUUGUGUCUUUUCAGUGGGACCAAAGCAUCUGGAAUUAGUUUUUUUGGUAGUUGUUCUUGAUAUGAACAGCUAGUCACCCUUUUGUUGAGUGGAACAGAACAGUGGUUCUGUUCCUUGUUUGGUAUUACCCUAAUCUGUCAGGUUGUGGAUCCACUGAAUAGUGCUUGCUGUUAAAUCUUUGGGCAGCUGUUAUAGUUUUUAAACAUGGUGUCUAUAAACUGUUUCGGCUCAUUGAUACUUCUGGUCAGACCAUGAUAUGCAGUGCCUUAUGGAGUGGUCAGUGUGGCAGAGGACAUGCAGAAGAGAAAUUGGGCUUGACCUGCCUACAGUUUCUGAGUUUCUGAGGCUUUUUGUGUGGGACCUACCGGCUCUUACUAAGAUGUGUGUUCCAGGCAGAAAGCUGGUGAGGUUGUUCAUUUAACCUCUUUUUAUGUAUGUGUGUGUUAAGUAUUUUAGAAAGUCUAUAGUAGGCGGUCAUCAUUUUCAGAGCUCUUUAGUGUUCUUAUCCCUCCCCUUUAUUCUUUCUACUAUCCCAUUUACCCAUCUCUAUGCCCAGUAUAACCUUUUUGUUCCAUUAUUCCUUCUUAACUUUUUAAUACCAUUUCAUUUAGUUUACUCUUCCUUGAAAGUUAUCCACCUCUCCUAUAGCCCCAAGUAAUUUCCUAACAUCUAUGAGUUUUUGAAAUGAAACACACAUAUCAUGUAGUCUUUUGGGUACCCAAAAGUAGUAUAGGUGAGUCAAAUGGUAGAUCUUUUUUUUAGCUUUUUGAGGAAGUUACACACUGAUUCCCAUAGUGAAUACCCCGGUUUACAUUCCCAACAUGAAUAAGUAUUUCCCUCUUCCCAUACCAUAUCCAAUUCAACACUUGUUAUCCUUUUUGACAUUUGUCAUUCUGACUAGGUUGGUGGAAUCUCAAGGAAGUGUUCGUAUGCAUUUCCUUGAUUUUUAAGUGUGCUGAAAAAAAUUGAUUUAAUUCUUUGCCUUGGUUUUUUAAUUAUUUUUUUUUCAUGUUUAGUUUUUUGAAUUCUUUAUAUAUUCUAGAUGAACGCCCGUGGUCAGAUAUAUAGUAGGGUAAAGAGGUGUGCUGCCUCUUACCUUGAAUAGUAGUAUCCUCUACUAUAGAGAAUUUUUAGUUAAAGUUUUAUGUGGUCCUAUUUAUCAGUUGUUUGUCUUAAUGCCUGUAUUACUGGACUCCUGUUCAGGAAGUCCUUUCUCGUGCUUAUGAACUCAAGCAUAUUUCCUGCUUUUUUUCUGUGAUUGGGUAUCAGCUCAUAUUUCAAGGCUCUUGACCCAUUUGAUUCAUUUGUAGUUGAGUUUUGUACAGGGUAAGAGAUGAUUAUCAACUUUCAUUCUUCUACGUACAGCUUUCCACUUUUGACCAACGUCAUUUGAAGUCAGUCUUUUUGCAGUGUUUAGGUGGUUGUAGAUGUCUCUUUUUAUACUACUACAUUCUAUUCUAUUAGUCAAUGUAUAUUUUAUGCUAAAUAACAUCAUUCCGUAUAGUACAUGUUGUGGUAAUCUGGGAUGAUGAUAUCUAUAGCAGUAUUUUAAAAAUCAUUUACUAUUUUUUAUUCUGUCAUGCAUGUGUGUGUUUCCAAAGGAAGUUUAAUAACUAGUUUCUUCAAUUCUGAAAGAAUUGUGUUGCAAGUUUUAUGAUAAUUGAAUUUGUAGAUUGCUUUUGAUAAGAUGGGCAUUUUCACAAUAUUCUAUCAGUCAUGGAUGGGAAAUCUCUUUGUCUUAUGGUGUCUUCAGUUUCUUUCAUUAGUGUUUUAGAGUUCUCAUUGUAUAGUGUUUCCACUUCUUUGAAUAAGAUUAUUUCAAUAUAAUUUUAUUUUGUUAAAUUUUUUAUAUUGUGAAUGGUAUAGUUUUUCUUAUUUCUUUUUCAAUCUGCUUGUUUAUUAGUAUAUUGGAAGGUUACUGCUCUGUGUGUGUGUUUGUAUUAAAUUUGUACCCUGCGACAUUGUUGAAUGUGUUUUCUUAGUGAAUAGGAUUUUUUUUUUUUCUGAUGGAGAUAUUUAGAAUCUUUUAGGUAUAGAAUCAUUUCAUUUGUGAUAGGAUACUUUAACAAUUUCUAUCUGAUUUCAGUUCCCUCUGUAACUUUCACUUAUUAGCAUUAUAUUGAACAGGAAUGGGCAAAGUUGACAUCAUUGCCAAAUUACUAAUUUUAUUGAAAUGCUUUGAAGUUUUUCUACUUGUUUUUCUACUUGUUAUGGUGUUGGAUGCUGGCUUGUUACAUAAUGGCUUUAUUAUGUUAUUAUGUACUCUGUAUCUCUAGAUUUUCCAGAACAUUUACCAUUAUGAGAUAUUUGAUUUUAUCAAUGACCUUUUCACAUCUUAAUGAGAUGAUCUUGUAGUUUCUGUGAUUGUCUAUGUGGUGGAUUACAUUUAUUUAGUUGUGUAUGUAUGAUGAACAGUCCCUACAUUCUAGAUGAAUGAUCAUGGUGACUAUUUUUUUCUGAUCAAUUUUUGACAUUAUUUUGUAUGUAUUUUGUUGAGAAUUUCUUGGUCCAUGUUCAUUAGAGAUACUGACAUAUAGUAUAAAUUACAUGUAUUUUAAUUUGACAUUAUAUAUAUUACAUGUAUUUUAAUUAUAUUAUAUAUGUGUAUGUUGUAUAUAAUUACACAUUAAACAUAUGUUAUAAUAUACAUAUUUACAUAUAUGAUAUAUAUGUAUAUAUAUCUUUGUUUUGGUCUCAGUGUAAUGUUGGCAUCGUCAAACGUUCCAAGUUUUCCUUCUAGUUUUUGGAAUAAGUUGAAUACUAGCAGUUCUUUGAAGGGCUGGUAGUAUUCCAUGCUUCAUCUAUCUGGUCCUGGGUUUUUUUAAUUGAGAGAAUUUGUAAAUUACUGUUUCUAGGCUUAUGAUGGUUGUGUAUACCUUUAAUCCCAGCACUUGGGAGGUAUAAAUGGAUGAUCUUUGAUUUCAAGGCCUGCCUGGUCUACUGAGCUAGUUCCAGGACAGUCAGGGCUACACAGAGAAACUCAUGACUUGAAAAACAAAAUAGAUUACUCUGGGUCUGUUUAGAUUAUUUUACCAUACGUACACACACACACACACACACACACACACACACACACACUUUAUAAUUUAAAGUAUGACCUAUAAUUUGUUAGCUUUCCUCAAUAUUUGUUUUAAUAUUUUCUUUUCCAUCACUGUUUUUAUUACUUUAGAUCCUGUCUUUCUUUGGUUAAUUUGGCUAAGGUUUGUUGGAAGUUGUUUAUCUUUUCAUAGAUCCAAUGUUUGAUUUCAUUGAUUCUUUGUAUUUUUUUUUUUUGUUUUUGUUUUUUACUUCAUUAACUUCAUCUGAGAUUUUUAUUCUCUCUUCUCAUUUGGUGUGUUUUUAUUUUUCAAAAUGCUCAGUUGGAUUAAGUUAUUAGACAUUUAGUGCUAUAAACGUCUUUAUACUGCCUUUAUUAUGCCCCAUAAAAUAUGUUUUUUCCAUUCACUUCCUAGAAUUUUAAAUAUUCUGUCAGUCUUUUUUCUUCACCAACUUAACUGUUCAGUAAUGUUAUUUAGUUUCCAUGCUUUCUGCAAUAUCUAUCACUGUUAAUAUUUAAUUUUAUUCCAUUGUAUUCAAUACAAAGAAUUGUGUGUUACAGUAUUAUGUAUUGUUGUGAUUCUUAUCAGUAUCUUGAUAGGUAGUUGAUUUUUUUAGAAAAUUCCAUAGACUGAGACGAAUGUGUAUUAGUAUGUAUGUGGAAUCUUCUAUAGAUAUCUGUUACAUCCAUUUGAUUUAUUAUGUCAUUUAACUCCAGAGUUUCUGUUUAAUUUUUAUCUAGAUGAUCUGUUGGAGGGAGUUGGGUAUUGAAGUCACUGUGUUGUGACUGAUGUGUGGUUUUAGAUGUAAUCGCAUUUCUCUUAUGAAAUUGUGCUUUGGUUUUUGUUGCUUAUGUUUUUAAAAUUGUAGCAAUCACCUGGUAGAUACUAUUCCUCUAAUUUUAUUUUGUGUCUUUGGAGAGGGGAUUAAGACCAUUUACAAUAAGAGUAAUUGAAAGAUAUGUUUUUAUUCUGUUUAUCAUGGAAAAUUUGUAUUUGUCUUUCAGUUUUUAUGUAAAGUUUUACAACUAUAAUGUUUGUGUUAUCAGUUGUGAUCUUUCAGGAUCCAUCCUGUUUUCAACCUGAGAGUUAUAACUGCCACAAGGGUUGCAUAUCAGAUAUCCUGAAUAUCAGAUAUUUACAUUACGGUUGAUAACAAUAGCAAUAUUUAUGAACUCUUAGUGAAAUAAUCUUAUGGUUGGGGGUUAUCACAGCAUGAGGAAGUGUAUUAAACAGUCAAAGCAUUAGUAAGGUUAAGAACCACUGAUCCAGAUUCUUCAUGCUUUAAAGUUCUUUGUUGAUUAGAUAUUAAUUUUGAUGGGUCUGCUUUAUGAGUGAUUUCACUUUUCUCUCGUAUCCUUUAGUACCCUUUUGUCAUGUAUUUUAAUUUUUUUUAAACUAUAAUAUGUUGGGGUGAAUUUAUUUACUGGUCUUUUGUAUUGUGUUUUCUAGGCUUCUUAGAUCUGGGUGGUAUCUCUCAAAAGAUGGGAAAUAUUCUUCUCCUCUUUUACUGAAGACACUCUGUAUGCCUCUUCUUUGGUUUUCUUUCCGUCUAUGCUCAUAAUUGUGAGCUUAGGAUUUUUAUGAAGUCCCUAUGAAGUCCCAAAACUCUUUCAUGCUCCUUUCAUUUAAAAAUGUAAUUUAGUUUACUGAGUGAGUGGUUGGAGUCCUCUUCUUUGUCUUCCAUUGUUGACUGCCUGCUUUUGACAUGAUUCUGUUGGUGAUGCAUUCCACUGAAGAUUUUAGCUGGCUUAUUGAAGUUUUUCUUUUUCAGGAUUAUUUAUUUUUAUUGGCUUUUUUUUCUUCAAUAAUUCAAACAAUUUUCCUGGGUCGAUUUCACACAUCUCAUCUUUAUUUUCUUUGACUAUAGGUAUAAUUAUUCUUUUGAAUUCUUUGUCCAGAACUUUUUUCAGGUCAUUUUCUUUAGUAUCAUUACUCUGCGAUUUCUAUUUUUUGGAGGAAAUUAUUUUUGCUUUUUGUGUUUUCAUUUUUUAUAGUUAUCUUUUUUGUUUUGUUUUUUCUCAGGUUGCCUAUUUUUUCUUUCUUUAAAAAAAUAUUGAUUCUUUGUGUUUUUUUUUUUAAUAGCACAUACCUAUAUACCACUCAUUUCCUAAUCCCUUUGUUUCCACCCUCCACCCUUGCAACCUCCCCCCUAAAACAAAAUAAAAUUAAAAUAGAAAAAAUAUUGUUUUGGAAGCUGUAGUGUGUGACACAGUUCUUUUGUCCACACAUCUCUACUUUUGAAUAUUCAUUUCCGUGAGUUAUUGGUCUAUUUUGAGACCUCUGGAUUCUGCCAUACUGACUCCUCACCAGGAUUCCUCUUGGCUAUCCUAUUAUCCUGUGUCAUGGAGAUCCUGCAGUUUUGGAUCUGCAGAAAUGGCCACUUCAUAAUUUCUAGUAGAUCAUAAUUGGAGUAGAUGUUAGGAUAAGCUCUGGGUCUGGGCUUGGGAGGUAGUUGAGUUACUUAGUCACUCAGAUGCUUGAGUUAGCUCUCAAGCACUAUUCUGCUUAGCUUACCCAGUGAAGGAGUACCAUAAAAUACUAAUUGUAUAGCUAUUUUACAUAUGUGUGUGUGUGUGUGUGUGCUUAUACACGCACGCACACAAACAUAUACGUUCAUACAUACUAACCUGGUACAGACCCACCUGUGCUUGCUGCUUCAGUUUCUGAGAUCUCAUAUGAGACUUUCUUAGUUGAUUCAGAGGGCUUUGUUCUAGUACCUUCAUCUCCUCUGGCUCUUAAAGGUUUUCUACCUUCUUUUCUGAGGAAUUCUCUGAGCUGCAAGGAUUUUAUUGAGAGCUCCCAUUUAAAUACUCUGGCCAUGUAAUGUCUGACUGCGGUCUUUGUAUCUCUGCAUCUGUUCACAUCUACCAGAGGAAGCCCCUCUGACGAUGACUAGAUAAGAUACUGAUAUAUUAUGUAUACAAGAAUAUCAUUAGUAAUCAUUUUAUUGACUUUAAAAUUUUUUAAUUUUUAAAGUAUCAUUAGUAUUUGUUUUACCAUAUGUCUCUGGUUCUUAGUUAUCCAAGCAGUUUUGGGUAUGGGUUUCUUCUCCUGGAUUGGGCCUUAAGUCAUAUGAGACAUUCUUUGACCACUCCCACUUGUUCUGUAUAUUACUGCUUUAGCAUAUUUUACAGGAAGGACAGAGGUCAAAGGUUUUGUGGUUGGGUUGAUAUACAUGUAUGUGGGUACCAGCUUGGCUUCUCCAUGUUUAUUGAGUUGUGUGGGUAUGUGGGUGUUAGCCUCAGCAGUAAGGCUCUACUGUUAGGUUUCAGGUAGUAACCAUUGUUUUAGUAACAGCCUGGGCUGUAGGAAAUUUCUAUGAGAUUCUAUUUAUUUAAUUGAAGUGCAACUCAUUUUGGUUGUCUGGAGACAAGAGGUGACAACUUGAGAUUCUGUAUCUUCUAUUACUUGACUACCUCAUUAGGAUCAUUUUCAUAUAUUUUAGGAAGUUUCCACUGCACUAGGUUUCCACAACAACAUGAGACUGCCCCUCUCUCCAAUUCCAGCUGUUUCUACCACUCUUACUCUCCACCCCAUCUCUUCCCCAAACCCCCACCCCCUUACCCCCCAACAUAUACCUGAUAGCUCUCCCUAUCUGCUCCCAGUUGUCCUGUAAAAUCUAUUUCCCUCUUUUAGGGAUAUUCAUGUAUUCCCUCCUGGACUCCCUUCUGUUUACCUAACCUUUCUGGUCUAUAGAUUGUACAUUGGUUAUUAUUUACUUAACUUCUAAUAUCUUUCUUUUAAGUGAGUACAUACCAUAUAUAUCUUUGUCGGUCUGAGUUACUUCACUAAGGAUGAUUUUUGCUGUAUCCUAGUAUGUUUUCUUUUCAUUUGACUUACUCCUUUAAAAAUGUUUCUUUUCUGACUUCUUCAGUGAUUCUUUAAGAUACACAAGAUUGUAUUGUAUUGUCUCCAGGUAUUUGUGUGGUUUGCAUAGUUCCUUUUGCAUUUCUAACUUUAUUGUCUUAUGAUCUGAUCAAUGCAGGAAAGUAAUUUUUAUUGUUGUUACUGACUUGCUUAAUGUUAAAAAAAUACUAUAUAUCUGUUAGUGAAUUCCAUGGGCUGCCAAGGUUUAUUCUGAAGGUGAGAUGUUCUCCAGAUGUCUUGAAUAAGUCCAUUUGAUGUUUGGUACAGUUUAGGUAAAUCAAUCUAUCUAUCUAUCUAUCUAUCUAUCUAUCUAUCUAUCUAUCUCUAUCUAUCUUUCUAUCUUUCUAUCUUUCUAUCUUUCUUUGUUUUUUUCUUUUGGUUAUAUAAGCUACUAAUUUGGAAAGUUUAGAUUAUUGUAUUUGAACUUAACUUGUUACUUUCUAUAUGGACAUAGUACUUUCGGGUGUGAGGUUGGAUAUUACAGUAGUCUAGUAUUGUUUCUUUUUAUGAAUUUGGGUACACUAUCAUUUAAUACAUAUGUACAUACUUAUAAUUGUAUAUUCCUCAUUGGUUGUUUUCUUUUAUACUAUAUAGUUAUAUAUUUAUUUCACUAUUCCAGUUCUUUUUUUAUUUCCACUCAAUUUUCAUAGUCUCCAUUUUUUCUCUUUUAGCUUGUAAUCGAGUGAAAUACAUUCCUGUUUUAAAUUCACUCUGCUAAUCUUUGUCUUAAUUGGAAUGCUAAAAACAUUUAUAUUUUGUUGGCCAAAUUUUAUUGUUUCUUUUAUAAUUCUCUUGUUUUUUUUUUGAUUAACUUAUGUAGGCACAGUUGUUUCUUUCUUAAUUUUUAUUUUUCAACUAUAGAAUUACAAAAUGAAUUUUCCUUGAGCUCCUGUGUUUGUGUCAAUCUCCUGUGUGUAUUUUUCCUUAAAAUAUGUACUGUAAAUCUUUAAAAUAAAAAGUCUCCCAACAAAAAAGGCCCAGGACCAAAUGGAUUUAGUGCAGAAUUCUAUCAGACAUACAAAGAAGACCUAAAACCAAUACUCUUCAUACUAUUCUACAAAAUAGAAACAGGAGAAACAAUGCCCAGUUCAUUCUAUGAAGCCAGAAGUACGCUUAUACCUAAAUGACACAAAGUCCCAACAAAGAAAAAGAACUUCAGGCCAAUUUCCCUUAUGAAUAUCAGUGCAACAAAACUCAAUAAAAUCUCAUUAACCGAAUCUAAGAACAGAUCAAAACAAUCAUCCGUCAUGAGUAAGUAGGCUUCAUCCCAGUGAUGCAAGGAUGAUUGAAUGUACAGAAAUCCAUCAACAUAAUCCACUAUAUAACCAAACUCAAGGAAAAAAAGCACAUGAUCAUCUCAUUAGGUGCUGAGAAAAAAUUUGACAAAAUUCAACACCCCUUCAUUUUAAAAGUCUUAGAACGAUCAGCAAUUCAAAGCCCAUACCUAAAAAAUAGUAACAGCAAUAUACAGCAAACCGAUAGCCAACAUCAAACUAAAUGGAGAGAAACUUGAACCACUAAACCAAGGACUAGACAAGGCUGUCCACUCUUCAACUACCUGCUGAAUAUAGUACUCAAAGUCCUAGGCAGAGCAAUUAGGUAACAAAAGGAGGUCAAAUGGAUCGAAAUUGGAAAGGAAGAAGUCAAAAUAUCACUCUUUGCAGAUGAUAUGAUAGCAUAUUUAAGUGACCCCAAAAAUUUCAUCAAAGAACUCUUAAGCCUGAUAAACAACUUCUGCAAAGUGUCUGGGUGUAAAAAUAACUCAGACAAAUCAGUAGCCUUCUUCUACUCGAAGGAUAAACAGGCUGAGAAAGAAAUUGGGGAAACGAAAACCUUCACAAUAGUCACAAAUAAUAUAAAAUACCUUGGUGUGACUCUAGCCAAGCAAGUAAGACAUCUGUAACAGUAACUUCAAGUCUCUGAAGGAAGAAAUUGAAGAAGGUGCUGGAGAGGAUGCAGAGAAAUAGGAACACUCCUCCAUUGUUGUUGAGAUUGUAAUCUGGUACAUCAACUCUGGAAAUCAGUCUUGCAGUUCUCAGAAAAUUGGACAUAGUAUUACCUGAGGACCUAGCUAUACAAUUCCUUGGUAUAUGCCCAAAAGAUGCUCCAACAUACAAUAAGAACACAUGCUCCACUAUGUUCAUAGAACUUUAAUAUAGCCAGAAGCUGGAAAGAACCCAGAUGCCCUUCAACAGAGGAAUGGAUACAGAAAAUGUGGUACAUCUACACAAUGGAGUACUACUCAGCUAAAAACAAUGACUUAAUGAAAUUCUUAGGCAAAUGAAUGGAACUAGAAAAUAUCAUCCUGAAUGAGGUAACCCUGCCAAAAAAGAACACACAUGAUAUGCACUCACUGAUAAGUAGUUAUUAGCUCAAAUGCUUAGAAUACCUAAAAAAAAAUUCAUAGAUCAUGUGAACGUGAAGGAAAAGAAAGACCAAAAUGUGGAUGCUUCAUUCCUUCCUAGAAGGGAGAACAUAAUACUCACGGGAGGAAAUAGAGGGACAAAGAGUAGAACAGGGACUGAAGAAAAGUUAAUCCAGAGGCUGCCUCACGUGGGGAUCCAUACCAUAUGCAGCCACCAAACCCUGUCAGUAUUGCUGAUGCCAAGAAGUGCUUGCUGACAGGAGCCAGAUAUGCUAGUCUUCUGAGAGGUUUUGUUAGAGCCCUACUGAUACAGAUGAGGAUGCUUGCAGCUAACCAUUGAACUGAACAAGGGGACCCUGAUGGAGGAGUUAGAGAAAGGACUAAAGGAUCUGACGGGGUUUGUAACCCCAUAGGAAGAACAACAGUAUCAACCAAGCAGAUCCCACCAGAACUCCCAGGGACUAAACCACCAACAAAUGAGCACACAUGGAGUGACUCAUGACUCCAGCUGCUUGUGUAGCAGAGGAUAACAUUGUCCAACAUCAAUAGGAAGAAAAGCUCUUGGUCCUGUGAAGGCUCCUUUCUGCAGUAUGUGGGAAUACCAGGGCAUUGGGUUGGAGUGUGUGUGUGUGGGAGUGCGACCAUACUCAUUGAAGCGGGAAGUGGGAAGGGAGUAUGGGAGAUGUCAGGAAAAGAGAUAACAUUUGAAAUGUAAGUACAUAAAAUAUCCAAGAAAAGUAAAAUAAAAAUAAAAGA
Non-coding RNA from Rattus norvegicus (Norway rat), 18917 nucleotides. The record is from RefSeq and is a predicted model, not a curated record. Lineage: Eukaryota; Metazoa; Chordata; Mammalia; Rodentia; Muridae.